Molecule: long non-coding RNA, 312 nt
Filed under: Homo sapiens (human)
Lineage: Eukaryota; Metazoa; Chordata; Mammalia; Primates; Hominidae
Description: long non-coding RNA NONHSAT196146.1
Source: RNAcentral
CAGGGUAAGCACCUAAGCCCUUGGAAAGGAGUAGUGAUGAUGAUGAUGUUAACAGUUAGCAUUUGUCCUUACUUUGUGCCAGGUACUGUUUUAAGCAGUUCACAUGUAAUUAUUCAUUUAAUCCUCCUAGAAGAUAGUAUUUUAAUAUCCGCAUUCUCAGAAGAAGAAACAUGGACACAGAGAUAUUACUAGGGUGGAAUUCAACCAAGGGUGUAAUGGCUUUGAAGCAGGCUGGCCUCACUUUGAACUCAGGAGAAGUGGAACAGAGUUGCAUAUUUUCUUAAGGCGCUGUUUUUCCACCUGGCGCCGACC